RNAcentral lists this non-coding RNA (30 nucleotides) under Mus musculus (house mouse). Lineage: Eukaryota; Metazoa; Chordata; Mammalia; Rodentia; Muridae. The record is from RNAcentral.
UAGGAGAGGCGUGUCUACACCUGUUUGGUU